Molecule: ribosomal RNA, 253 nt
Filed under: uncultured bacterium
Lineage: Bacteria
Description: partial 16S ribosomal RNA
Rfam family: Bacterial small subunit ribosomal RNA
Source: RNAcentral
UACGAAGGGGGCUAGCGUUGUUCGGAAUUACUGGGCGUAAAGCGCGCGCAGGUGGUCUUUCAAGUCAGUGGUGAAAGCCCGGAGCUCAACUCCGGAAAUGCCAUUGAAACUGUGAGACUUGAGGACGAGAGAGGUGAGUGGAAUUCCCAGUGUAGAGGUGAAAUUCGUAGAUAUUGGGAAGAACACCGGUGGCGAAGGCGGCGCUCUGGACCGAGACUGACGCUGAGGCGCGAAAGCGUGGGGAGCAAACAGG